This 463-nucleotide ribosomal RNA is filed under the name Dothideomycetes sp. KDB-2015a. Its description in RNAcentral is "eukaryotic LSU rRNA". The stretch from base 113 to 266 matches the Rfam family "5.8S ribosomal RNA". The record is from RNAcentral. Lineage: Eukaryota; Fungi; Ascomycota; Dothideomycetes.
UGUUAUCCGACACUGUUGCCUCCGGGGCGACCCGGCCUUCGGGCGUCGGGGCCCCGGGUGGACCAUCCAAACACUGCAUCUUUGCGUCUGAGUACACGAUUGAAUCAAUCAAAACUUUCAACAACGGAUCUCUUGGUUCUGGCAUCGAUGAAGAACGCAGCGAAAUGCGAUAAGUAAUGUGAAUUGCAGAAUUCAGUGAAUCAUCGAAUCUUUGAACGCACAUUGCGCCCCUUGGUAUUCCGAGGGGCAUGCCUGUUCGAGCGUCAUUUCACCACUCAAGCCUGGCUUGGUAUUGGGCGCCGCGGUCCGCCGCGCGCCUUAAUGUGUCCGGCUGAGCCGUCCGUCUCUAAGCGUUGUGGUAACCUAUCCGCUUGCGAGAUUGGGGGCGUCUGGCCGUUAAACUCAUCCAAAGGUUGACCUCGGAUCAGGUAGGGAUACCCGCUGAACUUAAGCAUAUCAAUAA